GACGAACGCUGGCGGCGUGCUUAACACAUGCAAGUCGAACGGAAAGGCCCUGCUUUUGUGGGGUGCUCGAGUGGCGAACGGGUGAGUAACACGUGUGUAACCUGCCCUUGACUUUGGGAUAACUUCAGGAAACUGGGGCUAAUACCGGAUAGGAGCUCCUGCUGCAUGGUGGGGGUUGGAAAGUUUCGGCGGUUGGGGAUGGACUCGCGGCUUAUCAGCUUGUUGGUGGGGUAGUGGCUUACCAAGGCUUUGACGGGUAGCCGGCCUGGGAGGGGGACCGGACACAUUGGGACUGGGAUGAGGCCCAGACUCCUACGGGAGGCAGCAGUGGGGAAUAUUGCACAAUGGGCGGAAGCCUGAUGCAGCAACGCCGCGUGCGGGAUGACGGCCUUCGGGUUGUAAACCGCCUUCGCCUGUGACGAAGCGUGAGUGACGGUAAUGGGUAAAGAAGCACCGGCUAACUACGUG
Molecule: ribosomal RNA, 468 nt
Filed under: uncultured bacterium
Lineage: Bacteria
Description: partial 16S ribosomal RNA
Rfam family: Bacterial small subunit ribosomal RNA
Source: RNAcentral